RNAcentral lists this ribosomal RNA (206 nucleotides) under uncultured bacterium. RNAcentral's name for it is "partial 16S ribosomal RNA". It matches the Rfam family "Bacterial small subunit ribosomal RNA", at positions 568 to 774 of the family's 1533-position model. The record is from RNAcentral.
CUCGUAGGCGGUUUGUCGCGUCGGGAGUGAAAACGCCGUGCUUAACACGGCGCUGCUUCCGAUACGGGCAGACUAGAGGUAUGCAGGGGAGAACGGAAUUCCUGGUGUAGCGGUGAAAUGCGCAGAUAUCAGGAGGAACACCGGUGGCGAAGGCGGUUCUCUGGGCAUUACCUGACGCUGAGGAGCGAAAGUGUGGGGAGCGAACA